AUGGCAGCAAACACAGGAGCUUCAGGAUGGCUAAGGGGCAAGGUGAAGGCUGUGACGUCUGGAGACUGCCUUCUCAUCAUGGGGAGCACGAAGGCAGAGAUCCCGCCAGAGAAGUCCAUCACCCUGUCGUACCUUAUGGCCCCAAGGCUGGCUCGUCGUGGUGGAGUGGAUGAGCCAUUUGCUUGGGAAAGCAGGGAGUAUCUGAGGAAACUCUGCGUAGGAAAGGAGGUCACAUUUAGAGUGGAUUACACAGCUCCUAACAUCGGACGAGAAUUUGGCACUGUCUACCUUGGCGACAAGAACGUUGCCUACUUGGUGGUUGCUGCAGGAUGGGCAAGGGUGAAGGAGCAAGGCCCCAAGGGGGGUGAACCACUCCCAAAUGUCUCUGAGCUUCUAAGGUUGGAGGAAGUUGCUAAGCAACAGGGUUUAGGCCGUUGGAGCAAGGAACCUGGUGCUGCUGAAGAUUCGAUAAGAGAUCUUCCACCAUCAGCAAUUGGCGAACUAAGUGGUUUUGAUGCAAAGGGUUUUGCAGUUGCAAAUAAAGGCAAGAGUCUGGAAGCCAUUGUCGAACAAGUUCGCGAUGGCAGUACCAUUCGUGUUUACUUGCUUCCAAGUUUCCAAUUUGUCCAGAUAUAUGUUGCUGGAGUGCAGGCUCCGUCCAUGGGGAGACGACCACCGAAUCCUACUGUUGUUGCCGAACCAGAGGGCACUACUAACGGCACUACAAAUGGUGACGAUUCUGGGGAAGCUCCUGCACCACUGACAACAGCACAAAGGCUUGCUGCAUCGACAGCCUCUACUGAAGUUCCACCAGAUAGGUUUGGAAGAGAAGCUAAGCAUUUCACAGAGACUCGAGUUCUGAACAGAGAUGUGCGGAUUGUGGUGGAGGGGACAGACAGUUUCAGUAAUAUAAUUGGUUCGGUGUAUUACCCAGAUGGUGACACUGCUAAGGACUUGUCCCUUGAGCUUGUUGAAAAUGGUCUUGCGAAAUAUGUGGAGUGGAGUGCGAACAUGCUAGAUGUUGAAGUUAAAAUAAAGCUGAAGAAUGCUGAACUUCAGGCAAAAAAGGAACAGCUGAGAAUUUGGACUGGAUUUAAGCCACCAGUGACAAAUUCAAAGCCAAUCCAUGAUCAGAAAUUCACUGGAAAAGUGGUAGAAGUUGUGAGUGGAGAUUGUAUUAUUGUUGCUGAUGAUGCUGCUCCUUAUGGAAGUCCUUCAGCAGAACGUCGGGUUAAUCUUUCAAGUAUUAGAGCUCCUAAGCUCGGCAAUCCUCGCAGGGAGGACAACAAGCCCGACAAAUUUGCUCGUGAAUCUAAGGAAUUCUUGCGCACACGGUUGAUUGGCAAACAGGUGACUGUGGAAAUGGAAUAUUCUAGAAGGAUCAGCACCAUGGAUGGACAGAAUGCUGUGCCUGUAAUGAACUCGGCUGAUACCAGAGUUUUGGAUUAUGGUUCAGUUUUUCUAGGUUCGCCAUCACCGGCGGACGGAGAUGACACAUCUUCUGCUCCAAGCACAGGCACCCAGCCUAAAAUUAAUGUUGCUGAGCUUUUGCUCUCACGGGGCUUCGCUGAGAUAUCAAAACACCGUGACUACGAGGAAAGAUCACAUUAUUUUGAUGCUCUAUUAGCGGCUCACUCACGUGCUGAGAAAGCAAAGAAAGGAAUUCACUCUGACAAACUUCCUCCUGUGAUGCAUAUAACAGAUUUAACAAUGGUUAACUCUAAGAAGGCCAAAGAUUUCCUUCCCUUCCUGCAGCGGAAUAGAAGGCAUACUGCUGUUGUUGAAUAUGUUUUCAGUGGUCAUCGUUUCAAACUAACAAUUCCGAAGGAGACUUGCAGCAUUGCUUUUUCAUUGUCUGGUGUUAGGUGCCCUGGUAAAGAUGAGCCCUACUCGAGCGAAGCUAUUGCUUUGAUGAGGAGGAUGAUUCUACAGCGUGAUGUGGAGAUUGAGGUUGAAACAGUUGAUAGAACUGGAACAUUCAUAGGUUCCUUGUGGGAGUCUAAGACCAACGUGGGUUCUGUUCUUUUAGAGUCUGGCUUGGCCAAGCUUAGUUCAUUUGGCUUGGAUAGGAUUCCAGAUGCUCAUGUCCUCACAAGAGCUGAAAAGUUAGCAAAGCAGCAGAAACUGAAGAUAUGGGAGAACUACGUCGAGGGUGAAGAAGUUACUAAUGGGUCAGCCUCUGAAUCCAAACAAAAGGAAAUUCUCAAGGUUGUUGCUACCGAGGUUCUUGGUGGUGGAAAGUUCUAUGCCCAGACAGUAGGUGACCAGAGAGUAGCUUCCAUCCAACAACAGCUUGCAUCCUUGAAACUUAAGGAGGCACCAGUCAUUGGUGCUUUUAAUCCUGGGAAGGGAGAAAUAGUCCUUGCUCAGUUUAGCCUCGACAACUCUUGGAAUAGAGCCAUGAUUGUUAAUGGACCCCGAGGAGCUGUAGAGUCUGUAGAUGACAAAUUUGAAGUAUUCUACAUUGAUUUUGGUAACCAAGAAGUUGUUCCUUACAACCGCAUACGGCCUGCAGACCCAUCAGUAUCCUCCUCUCCUCCUCUUGCUCAGCUGUGCAGCCUUGCCUUCAUCAAAGUGCCUGGUCUGGAAGAUGAUAAUGGUCAGGAAGCAGCAGAGUAUCUUAGCGAAUGCUUGCUAAGCAGUUCAAAACAAUACCGGGCAAUGAUCGAAGAGCGCGACACUACUGGUGGAAAAGUGAAGGGACAAGGCACUGGACCUGUUCUCAUUGUGACUCUUGUUGAUCCAGAGACAGAAUCCAGCAUCAAUGCUGCCAUGCUUGAGGAAGGGCUUGCCCGACUUGAAAGGGGCAAGAGAUGGGACACCAAGGAGAGGAAGACGGCUCUCGAGAACCUGGAGCAGUUCCAGGAGAAGGCGAAGAAGGAGAGGCUGCGGCUGUGGCAGUAUGGAGACGUCGAAUCCGACGAGGAAGAUCAAGCCCCCGGCGGGAGGAGACCCCCGCCGCGUCGGUAG
Molecule: ribosomal RNA, 2970 nt
Filed under: Triticum aestivum (bread wheat)
Lineage: Eukaryota; Viridiplantae; Streptophyta; Magnoliopsida; Poales; Poaceae
Description: partial small subunit ribosomal RNA
Source: RNAcentral